AGCCAUGUGGCCUAAUGGAUAAGGUAUUUGACUUCAGCUCAGAAGAUUAUAGGUUUGAGUCUUGCUGUGGUUG
This 73-nucleotide transfer RNA is filed under the name Alligator mississippiensis (American alligator). It matches the Rfam family "tRNA". Rfam says of the family: Transfer RNA (tRNA) molecules are approximately 80 nucleotides in length. Their secondary structure includes four short double-helical elements and three loops (D, anti-codon, and T loops). Further hydrogen bonds mediate the characteristic L-shaped molecular structure. tRNAs have two regions of fundamental functional importance: the anti-codon, which is responsible for specific mRNA codon recognition, and the 3' end, to which the tRNAs corresponding amino acid is attached (by aminoacyl-tRNA synthetases). tRNAs cope with the degeneracy of the genetic code in two manners: having more than one tRNA (with a specific anti-codon) for a particular amino acid; and 'wobble' base-pairing, i.e. permitting non-standard base-pairing at the 3rd anti-codon position. RNAcentral also lists the same sequence under 1 other name. Lineage: Eukaryota; Metazoa; Chordata; Crocodylia; Alligatoridae. The record is from Rfam by way of RNAcentral.